Long non-coding RNA from Mesocricetus auratus (golden hamster), 420 nucleotides. RefSeq lists it as uncharacterized. Lineage: Eukaryota; Metazoa; Chordata; Mammalia; Rodentia; Cricetidae. The record is from RefSeq and is a predicted model, not a curated record. The transcript is spliced from 3 exons.
AGUUGAGCCAGCCUGAGCUGAUGAGAUAAUUGUGUGUGCUGGGGGCAGAAGAGCUGGGGGAAUGGAGCUCUUUGGAGACAGAAUGACCUUGGCCAUGCAGUUGAGGAUGAAGUGUUCAACCAUUAGCCCAAAUCAGGAUAGGAAUCAGCAGUUAGCCUAAUCUUGACAGUGUGGUGGUCAGCUAUGGGGACUUGACACAUAUUGUUCCACUCCUGGAAGAUAAAUAAGAGAGCAGAGGUCUGAUCCCAGCUUACAACUCCAGCAGAAGCCCCCACUCCACCUGAGACCAUGCCAGCCACCAGAACCCCGAUUAUGUCCCCACAUUUGAAAAGAAAACACUACUAAAGCUUAAAUCACACAAUAAGACAACUUAAGGAAAAUAAGGGUAUACAAAUUGGAAAGCAAGAAGGCAACUUUUUG